Molecule: ribosomal RNA, 119 nt
Filed under: Pteropus alecto (black flying fox)
Lineage: Eukaryota; Metazoa; Chordata; Mammalia; Chiroptera; Pteropodidae
Source: RNAcentral
GUCUAUGGCCAUGCCACCCUGAACAACCCCGAUCCGGUCUGAUCUUGGAAGUUAAGCAGGAUCGAGUCUGGUUAGUACUUGGAUGGGAGACCCCCUAGGAAGUCCAGGUGCUGUAGGAU